Non-coding RNA from Notolabrus celidotus (New Zealand spotty), 386 nucleotides. The record is from the annotation of a RefSeq genome assembly. Lineage: Eukaryota; Metazoa; Chordata; Actinopteri; Labriformes; Labridae.
AAGCUCUCAUCAGCUCAUCUUCAUCAUCAGCCAUGUUCUCUGUAGCUCUGCUGCUGCUGGCUGCUGGAUCCUGUGUGAAGUGUGACACGCUGACUCAGCCAGCCUCUGUGACUGUGCAGCCAGGUCAGAGUCUGACCAUCACCUGUCAGGUCUCUGGUUACUCUGUCAGCAGCAGCGGCUACUACACAGCCUGGAUCAGACAGCCUGCAGGGAAAGGACUGGAGUGGAUUGGGAUGAAGUACAGCAGUACUUCAUACUACAAAGAUUCACUGAAGAACAAGUUCAGCAUCGACUUGGACUCCUCCAGAAACACAGCGACUCUAAACGGACAGAACAUGCAGCCUGGAGACUCUGCAGUGUAUUACUGUGCCAGAGACCCACAGUGA